UUUACCUGUGUGACUGCGUACCUUUUGUAUAAUGGGUCAGCGACUUAUAUUCUGUAGCAAGGUUAACCGUAUAGGGGAGCCGUAGGGAAACCGAGUCUUAACCGGGCGUUAAGUUGCAGGGUAUAGACCCGAAACCCGGUGAUCUAGCCAUGGGCAGGUUGAAGGUUGGGUAACACUAACUGGAGGACCGAACCGACUAAUGUUGAAAAAUUAGCGGAUGACCUGUGGCUGGGGGUGAAAGGCCAAUCAAACCGGGAGAUAGCUGGUUCUCCCCGAAAGCUAUUUAGGUAGCGCCUCGUGAAUUCAUCUCCGGGGGUAGAGCACUGUUUCGGCUAGGGGGCCAUCCCGGCUUACCAACCCGAUGCAAACUGCGAAUACCGGAGAAUGUUAUCACGGGAGACACACGGCGGGUGCUAACGUCCGUCGUGAAGAGGGAAACAACCCAGACCGCCAGCUAAGGUCCCAAAGUCAUGGUUAAGUGGGAAACGAUGUGGGAAGGCCCAGACAGCCAGGAUGUUGGCUUAGAAGCAGCCAUCAUUUAAAGAAAGCGUAAUAGCUCACUGGUCGAGUCGGCCUGCGCGGAAGAUGUAACGGGGCUAAACCAU
This 605-nucleotide ribosomal RNA is filed under the name Salmonella enterica. RNAcentral's name for it is "partial 23S ribosomal RNA". It matches the Rfam family "Bacterial large subunit ribosomal RNA", at positions 584 to 1190 of the family's 2925-position model. The record is from RNAcentral. Lineage: Bacteria; Pseudomonadati; Pseudomonadota; Gammaproteobacteria; Enterobacterales; Enterobacteriaceae. RNAcentral also lists the same sequence under 1 other name.